AUUGAACGCUGGCGGCAGGCCUAACACAUGCAAGUCGAGCGGAUGAAGGGAGCUUGCUCCUGGAUUCAGCGGCGGACGGGUGAGUAAUGCCUAGGAAUCUGCCUGGUAGUGGGGGAUAACGUCCGGAAACGGGCGCUAAUACCGCAUACGUCCUGAGGGAGAAAGUGGGGGAUCUUCGGACCUCACGCUAUCAGAUGAGCCUAGGUCGGAUUAGCUAGUUGGUGGGGUAAAGGCCUACCAAGGCGACGAUCCGUAACUGGUCUGAGAGGAUGAUCAGUCACACGUGAAAUGAGACACGGUCCAGACUCCUAAGGGAGGCAGCAGUGGGGAAUAUUGGACAAUGGGCGAAAGCCUGAUCCAGCCAUGCCGCGUGUGUGAAGAAGGUCUUCGGAUUGUAAAGCACUUUAAGUUGGGAGUAAGGGCAGUAAGUUAAUACCUUGCUGUUUGGACGUUACCAACAGAAUAAGCACCGGCUAACUUCGU
Molecule: ribosomal RNA, 483 nt
Filed under: uncultured bacterium
Lineage: Bacteria
Description: partial 16S ribosomal RNA
Rfam family: Bacterial small subunit ribosomal RNA
Source: RNAcentral